AUUGAACGCUGGCGGCAGGCCUAACACAUGCAAGUCGAGCGGAUGAAGGGAGCUUGCUCCUGGAUUCAGCGGCGGACGGGUGAGUAAUGCCUAGGAAUCUGCCUGGUAGUGGGGGAUAACGUCCGGAAACGGGCGCUAAUACCGCAUACGUCCUGAGGGAGAAAGUGGGGGAUCUUCGGACCUCACGCUAUCAGGUGAGCCUAGGUCGGAUUAGCUAGUUGGUGGGGUAAAGGCCUACCAAGGCGACGAUCCGUAACUGGUCUGAGAGGAUGAUCAGUCACACGGGAACUGAGAAACGGUCCAGACCCCUACGGGAGGCAGAAGUGGGGAAUAUUGGACAAUGGGCGAAAGCCUGAUCCAGCCAUGCCGCGUGUGUGAAGAAGGUCUUCGGAUUGUAAAGCACUUUAAGUUGGGAGGAAGGGCAGUAAGUUAAUACCUUGCUGUUUUGCCGUGACCAACAGAAUAAGCACCGGCUAACUUCGU
This 483-nucleotide ribosomal RNA is filed under the name uncultured bacterium. Its description in RNAcentral is "partial 16S ribosomal RNA". It matches the Rfam family "Bacterial small subunit ribosomal RNA", at positions 30 to 506 of the family's 1533-position model. The record is from RNAcentral.